GGGCAUGAACAAGAGGGCAGCUGUGCCCAACAACAAUUCUUUCAAUUUUGAGUACAUUCAAUGCAUUUUUACGCAUAGAUUUCACGUCAGCACUGUGUAGAUAGGUGCAUGCACAAGGCUUGCGUCUCUGCAAAUGCAAAGAAGACGAGUGACGCCCAAACCUUUAAAUAAAUGCAGUAAAUGACAAGAGGAAUAAUAACUGCAGAAAUAAUGGCAGAGGGAAAGGAUAUCCAUGCUGAGCAGCCAAACAGGACAUCCUGAUAUCCAAGGCCUGCCACCAAUACCAUCACUCCCCUGUCACCCUCUGCAUUAGACAAAGCCGAGGCAUGCCCUCAUCCGAAGACUUUGUGCUGGUGGUCCUGGAACUUCCUGUUCUCCACAUAAACAGCCAGAGAUUGUUGAUGCAUCCCAGGCCGGAGCAGCUCUGAUGACAGCCACAAGUAUGUUGUCCACGUUGAGAGGGAUACUACAUCAAAAGGGAGUAACAUCAGGGUGGAGCAGAGAGCAGGAAGGUUUCUGUUCAGCCAUCUGUUCCAGAGCUGUCCUCUGGGAGAGAGAGUACCGGUCCAUUAAGACCAAGACCACCCAACACAUGAACAGCUUCUUCCCAAGAAGUGUGUAGUGGUGGCCACAAAAAACCUAAACAAAAAAUGACAGACCCUAUCUAGAGCCAUUGGUUUGACCAUUCUGGGCUACUGUAGAAACAUGGUGGCUCAAUAUGGCGGUCUCCACGGAAGAGGACCCUCUCCCUCUGUAGAUACAAACGAGUCAUAAGGUUGUUCCCAAGCCCCCCGUCCCAGCAGGGAUCCACAGAUGGUAGAUAGAUAGGUCACUCCUCUUCUGAUCCUGUUCAGUAACCAGCUCUAGUACUCAAGUUGCCCUCAAGACACCUGUUUGAAGAAUCUGUGACCCCAAUUCAGUGUGUGUUUAUUUAGCUUCUAACUCAUGCACACACACACACCCGAGCAAACAAGACUGAAAGGGCCAGUUACCUUGAAGGUCACCACAGGUGUGUUUGGCUGUCCCUGUCCUUUCACUCUUUCUACUCAUGUGAAACAGCCUCUUUGUCUCAGCUGUCACCUUGAAACACUCAGCGCCCUUUGUUUGGUUUUGGUCAUGUGACCUUAUGGCUCCUCACAGGCUGGAGUCAUUCAAAGAAAUCAAAGACAUUCAUAAUCUCUAUUAUAUUUCCUUGCCAUAAAAUGAGCUAUUAAUCACAUUUUAUGUGCUUGUAAUGCCUUUCUUCAUAGUUUAUUUUCAUAGUGGUCACAGCUCGAGGAUUUUAAGUCAAAUUUGUCAUGUUUUCAGACUAUUUAGAAAUAAUAAAUAAUACCACUGUUCAGCUUCAGUGCUUUUGUAAACGUGCCGGAUUGAUUAGCUCGCACCCAUUUAAGGCUUGUUUUGGAGCUUGGCCUCACGACCUGGGAAUGGAGGGGAGAUUCAUUUUCUUCCACAAACAUAUUAUGUCCCAAAAAAUGGGUAUUUGUGUUUUUAAAAAAAUAAUAAAAGUUAGAAUUAUACUCGACUGUAAUGUCACUUAAAUCAGUCAAA
This is a long non-coding RNA of Dicentrarchus labrax (European seabass), 1551 nucleotides long. RefSeq lists it as uncharacterized. The transcript has 6 exons. Lineage: Eukaryota; Metazoa; Chordata; Actinopteri; Moronidae. The record is from RefSeq and is a predicted model, not a curated record.